GAUGAAGAACGUAGCGAAACGCGAUAUGUAAUGUGAAUUGCAGAAUUCAGUGAAUCAUCGAGUCUUUGAACGCACAUUGCGCCCCCUGGUAUUCCGGGGGGCAUGCCUGUCCGAGCGUCAUUGCUGCCCUCAAGCACGGCUUGUGUGUUGGGCCUCCGCCCCCCGGCUCCCGGGGGGCGGGCCCGAAAGGCAGCGGCGGCACCGCGUCCGGUCCUCGAGCGUAUGGGGCUUCGUCACCCGCUCCGUAGGCCCGGCCGGCGCCCGCCGGCGACCCCCCUCAAUCUUUCCAGGUUGACCUCGGAUCAGGUAGGGAUACCCGCUGAACUUAAGCAUAUCAAUAAGCGGAGGA
This 349-nucleotide unclassified non-coding RNA is filed under the name soil metagenome. Its description in RNAcentral is "partial contains 5.8S ribosomal RNA, internal transcribed spacer 2, and large subunit ribosomal RNA". The stretch from base 1 to 120 matches the Rfam family "5.8S ribosomal RNA", at positions 35 to 154 of the family's 154-position model. The record is from RNAcentral.